Molecule: ribosomal RNA, 446 nt
Filed under: uncultured bacterium
Lineage: Bacteria
Description: partial 16S ribosomal RNA
Rfam family: Bacterial small subunit ribosomal RNA
Source: RNAcentral
CCUACGGGAGGCAACAGUCGAGAAUCAUUCACAAUGGGGGAAACCCUGAUGGUGCGACGCCGCGUGGGGGAAUGAAGGUCUUCGGAUUGUAAACCCCUGUCAUGUGGGAGCAAAUUAAAAAGAUAGUACCACAAGAGGAAGAGACGGCUAACUCUGUGCCAGCAGCCGCGGUAAUACAGAGGUCUCAAGCGUUGUUCGGAAUCACUGGGCGUAAAGCGUGCGUAGGCUGUUUCGUAAGUCGUGUGUGAAAGGCGCGGGCUCAACCCGCGGACGGCACAUGAUACUGCGAGACUAGAGUAAGGGAGGGGGAACCGGAAUUCUCGGUGUAGCAGUGAAAUGCGUAGAUAUCGAGAGGAACACUCGUGGCGAAGGCGGGUUCCUGGACAUUAACUGACGCUGAGGCACGAAGGCCAGGGGAGCGAAAGGGAUUAGAUACCCGGGUAGUC